AGCUGUUGGAGGCGUUCUGCCUCAAGCGGCCGAGGAAGACUGUCCAAUCUGCUGCAUUGGACCUAUGCAGGACAAGCCCAAUUUGAGCUUACAAAACUGCCAUAUGGAUCUGUCAGAGUUGGGCCCGCACAAAUCAUGUUGGCGGUGAUUCGAAAUGGUGUCAGGCUGUAGUCGCAAUUGCACUGUUGGUUUCCGACCACUGGGACCUCCACCUCCAUCAGGUCCUGGGGCGGUGGGAGAGGAACUGGACAUGCACACAAACAGAAACUCAGUUUGGGGAGAUUUCCCUACGUUUGAAACAAAGACCAUUUAAUAUUUUAUGGAAACAUCAAAGGCAAAUGUACAGUAAACAAAUUGAACUGUGAGUGUGGACCAACCUCCCGAGCCGAUGCGUCCCCACCCGGUGACCCAGCUGUCGAUUCCGGUGAAGAAGGAGCUCUGGGCGGCGGCCAGGCAGAUGGGCCGGAUGAAGUUGUUGAAG
Syngnathoides biaculeatus (alligator pipefish) is the source of this 481-nucleotide long non-coding RNA. RefSeq lists it as uncharacterized. The record is from RefSeq and is a predicted model, not a curated record. The transcript has 3 exons. Lineage: Eukaryota; Metazoa; Chordata; Actinopteri; Syngnathiformes; Syngnathidae.